UUAGCAAGAGGACUAACGUAAAUGGGAUAGUAGAGCCCAACAGUAAAAAAAACGCCUCACUCGUUCUCCUUAUACAGAGAAGCUCAAAAUGAGUUCGCAAAAUAAGCCUUCGCUAUAUUGAACACGCCUCUCUCCAGUUCACUUCUUCUCUGCGACUCCGUCUUUGUAACUCCACCUCUCCUGCGUUCAACAUCGACUCAUCUUCUUCGAAUCUUGACGCAAAAUCUGUAGGGACAUAUAUAUACAUGAUGUUAAUUGGCCCCUCAGUGUCACCGGUUCUCUAAUCGGUGUCUCUGAUAGUGUGGGUGAUGGUGGGCUCAUUAUCGCAUAACACAUACAAGUUGUGGGGCAUUGGCAAUGGGCAAUGGGCAAUGGGCAAUGGGCAUUGGAAUGUGUGGGUGUUGGUUUCAUUUCUGUUGGGAGGAAGGAAGAAGCAAACUCAGCAGAGCAGGAUGGAAAUUUAAGGACAUUGAUAAUUCAGAACCAUUCCCGAAACUAAUAGUGAACCAGUAAAAGUAGUCGUUGCUGAUAACCUCCCGAUAUAGGUUUUGCUUGCUUUUGCACAUUCUGAUAUAGUCAGGUAUUUUAUUUCCAAUUUGUUCUUACGAAACAAAUCAGAGGUGGUGAUCUUGGGGAUCUUAGCUAGGACUUGAACAGUAUCACACUAACAAAGAUAUCUGAACUUGGUUGUACAACCAGAAUUUCAAGAUAUGACUUUUGUUUUAUUUUGUUUUUUUGUCAAUAUUUGUAAUGCAGUCUUGCAUCUAUCAAACACAACCUCGUUUGAAUGUAUUCAUUUUCUAAAUCAUCCCUACUAAUCAAUAGUUCAGCAAGGAACAAAUUGACCGAGUCCUUUCCAUUUUCCUAUUCAUCAUAGCUAUUAGCUUGUGCUCUGCAUUCCAGCAGUGUCACGGAAUUUGCAUCUAUUUCAUGGUUUAGAUUGUGUUGGUAAAUUCUGAGAAAUUAAAAGUACUCUAUGUCAUGAGUUUCUUAGGAACUGUUGUACUUAUUUCUAGAAAUAUCAUGGUUCCAUAUUGAAUGAAUUGUCAGGUAUCAAAGCGAUCAGCAGCCUAGCACAUGGGGUUGAUUUUACAACUUGAAUAUAAAAAAUUAGCCAAUAAUCAACAUUUUAACA
Molecule: long non-coding RNA, 1135 nt
Organism: Prunus dulcis (almond)
Lineage: Eukaryota; Viridiplantae; Streptophyta; Magnoliopsida; Rosales; Rosaceae
Exons: 4
Source: RefSeq, a predicted model, not a curated record